RNA transcript from Haliotis rufescens (red abalone), 5309 nucleotides. RefSeq lists it as uncharacterized. The record is from RefSeq and is a predicted model, not a curated record. The transcript has 13 exons. Lineage: Eukaryota; Metazoa; Mollusca; Gastropoda; Lepetellida; Haliotidae.
AAACGUUUAAGGUUAAUGUCUACAAGAGAUGAUCCAUAUAAAAGUGAACAAAAUUCACCCUGUUUCGAGUAAUGGAGGCACGAAAAACAACCAGUUUCACCUGCACAAUGUUUUCAAACUGAUGUAGGCAACGUUUCAGUUGUAAGUUACAACUUAAUCCCGGUGUUCAGACGAAAUAAACCCGGCAGUUUCACCCUCGGCAAUGCCAUUAGGCUUGACCAGGCCGGAAGCUGGCGAUGAGCCUCGUUCUGACUCCUCGAACUCCGUAACGUAGUUACCGUUGCCGUUAUCGACGUCCCUUCUGUUUUCAACAGAAAAACGAUCGCUUUUGCUCCGCUGACCUCUACGUUUUGCUAACUGCUGUAUCAUUCCAAGUGUUUCUUCUUCCAAGAUGAAUACAAGGCUUCACAUUCAAGCUCGGGAGGACAUAAUUCGCUAUUAUGGCACUCCUGCGGCUGUGAGUUUGUGGCCGUCUCAGGAUGAGGAGUCCGACUGUGUAUGUAUAAAUUUACAUGCCCACCCUGUAAAUUCUUCCGUCUAGUAUAGCUGAUUUGUUGCACAUUAAGUCUGCCAAGUCCCUAUAAUAAACUGUGAUUCGUUUUCUUUGCAAAAGUAUCCCGUAUUUCUGUCUGACCUGACUUCCUUUGUCCCUCCCUCCACCCCCUCGAUGUGUAGCGUUCCCUGGCUGUGUCCCCUUCCCGUUGUCCCGACCCCCUGAGCGUCUUCACUCCGUUCUGGGCCCGCCCUGUCUACGGUGAGACGCUCCCCGCCCCCGUCACCAUCAACCACGCUGAUUACUAUCCUGCCCCAAGUGACGAUGAUGACAGUGACUACUGGGUGUACGAGGACGAGGACGACCACAGCUUUGUGGAUGACAGAGAGAUUCAUCCCUUUAGAAAGGCGCUGACGAGAGCGGCUGCCUUCUUUAGGAAGAUCUUCUCUUAGACUCCUUUAUCCUUUUAAUGUCUGAAUGUGUGCAAGUGAGUGAAUGAAUGAGCAGGUUUGUAUGUAUGUGUGCGUUUGUGUGAGAGUAAAUAUAAGAUUGAAUGAGCAUGUGUGUGUGUGAGAGAGAGAGAGAGAGAUAGAGAGAGAGAGACAGAGAGAGAGAGACUGAAUGAAUAUGUAUGUUUGUGUGUGUGUAUUGUGUGCGUGUAAGAGUAAAUGAAAGAUUGAAUUAUCAUGUCUGUCUGUAUGCAUGUAUGUGUGUGUGAGUGUUUGUGUGAGAGUGUGAGAGAGUGAAUGAGCAUGUAUGUAUGAUGCGUGUAUGUAUGUGUGAGAGGGAGAGUGUACAUUGUGUAUAUAUUUUAGAGAUGAGAGUUGGAGUUAAUGAACGAGCCUACAUGUAAGUGUGUAUGAGAGAGAGAGAGAGAGAGAGAGAGAGAGGGAGAGAGAGAGAGAGAGAGACUACCAUUCCAGCGUAUUUUUGGCGUAUUUUUAGGCUCACAGUUUUGGCCCAACUUUCAGUUUCCUUUUGGCAAACCUCUUGGCUUAUUAGCAUGGCACAAGACCAUACUUUCUAUACAAUUUUGGCCCGUUUUUGGAUCUCCCUUGAGGCAUAUUACUUUCGACUUUCAGUCAUCUGAAUAAAUGUUUCUGUAAUCUAUACACAAGUUGUUUGUUUUCUCUACAGUGUUUCUUCCUUACAGCUAAUAAUAUCUGGGUGACAGCAGCAUCGCAAUAUUGGCAUCUGCCCAAAUCCCAGGGUUUCCGAACAUGAGACAUAAAUUCAUAUGGAUAUUGUUAAAAAGUGAAUGUUGCCCCUAUAUUGCUGUGCUGCUGUGUCCCAGUUUCAUGAUCUGCACUUAGCAGAAGAUUUCUAAGUAGGUGGGGUUACCUUAAGAUCAGACACUUCUAAAUGUUUAUGUGGCGACAAUUGUGACACGGGAUAUUCUCUGAGGACAGCUCUCUGACACUUUGUUAUCUGGAAUAAUGUUUUUAUUCCAAUAUAAUAGCUCAUCGUUUCUAAUGUAACAAUAACUGUGGCUUCCUUUUAAAGGAGUGCGAAUGGAGAAUUGCCUUCUCUAAAACACAAGUGUCGCCACAUGGGAUAUAUUACGAGCACUUCACCCAACUAAUAGCAGUAGUCGGACAAGGGGUUGAGAGUGAUCUCCCUUCGCCCCAGUCAAUAUUGGAUUCCACUCGUCUCAUCAUUAUGGCUUUACAGGAGUCGACCUCACCGCUGGUCCUUUGGCCCGUGGUCUUCAGAUAUUGCAGAGGGCAUGCUUUUAUACAUAGGCCGAGGCCAGGCGCAAGUAGAAAGCCUAUACUGACACCUACUCAUAUGCAAGAGUAGAUUGAUGUAUAUAUAUAUGACGUAAUAUUCGUAUCUUGCAUUCUACAAAAAUACCUAAAUAAUACAAGGGGUCUGAAUUCUACCCCUGUACGUCCACAUCAGCGUUUUCAAAAUGGGACGGUCAAUAGGAUUUCUCUGACUGUGAGUGUGUGGGUGGCUAGGAUUUUUUCAGAAAAUAAAUAUAUUGUCUCCGAAAUUGAUUGAAAACUAAUUAUGCUUCCAUCUGUUGGACAAAAAGAACAUGUCAGCCACCAAAAAUACGUUGUUGCAAGGUGGGAUUUUGAAAAAUGUUUUAUUUAGUCUCAUAAUUUUAGCUGAUUUUGCAUUUGUAGCUGAAAAAUAUCUAGUCUCCAUACAAAAUCCAAGGUCGCCCACUCCCCCUUCCAACAGAACAUGAAAUGGUCGGCCCCUCAGGCCUAGUAUAGUAAUAACCAAUAUGCUUGUCAUUUAUCUUUCUCUCCUAUUAGCAAUUUUCUGUGGUCGUCGUUUUUCCAGAUUAGAAAUCAAACCAAAUAAGAACUGUCGCUGCACACGUUGGUAUUUACCAGUACCAUUUAACUUUUAUUUUAUCCCUGUAGGCUAGGGAAUAAUUCCCCAAUCCUACUUGGAUUAUCAGAGAUGGGCAUUCUUACUAGCCUGCUAGCCCGUGUCAGUCUGUCGAAUGUAAAAGGUAUUGUGAAGGCUGGUAUAAUAGAGGGUCGUUAUAUGGUAUCGCUAUUCGUCCUAGCAAACGUUUAAGGUUAAUGUCUACAAGAGAUGAUCCAUAUAAAAGUGAACAAAAUUCACCCUGUUUCGAGUAAUGGAGGCACGAAAAACAACCAGUUUCACCUGCACAAUGUUUUCAAACUGAUGUAGGCAACGUUUCAGUUGUAAGUUACAACUUAAUCCCGGUGUUCAGACGAAAUAAACCCGGCAGUUUCACCCUCGGCAAUGCCAUUAGGCUUGACCAGGCCGGAAGCUGGCGAUGAGCCUCGUUCUGACUCUUCGAACUCCGUAACGUAGUUACCGUUGCCGUUAUCGACGUCCCUUCUGUUUUCAACAGAAAAACGAUCCCUUUUGCUCCGCUGACCUCUACGUUUUGCUAACUGCUGUAUCAUUCCAAGUGUUUCUUCUUCCAAGAUGAAUACAAGGCUUCACAUUCAAGCUCGGGAGGACAUAAUUCGCUAUUAUGGCACUCCUGCGGCUGUGAGUUUGUGGCCGUCUCAGGAUGAGGAGUCCGACUGUAAAAACGAUCGCUUUUGCUCCGCUGACCUCUACGUUUUGCUAACUGCUGUAUCAUUCCAAGUGUUUCUUCUUCCAAGAUGAAUACAAGGCUUCACAUUCAAGCUCGGGAGGACAUAAUUCGCUAUUAUGGCACUCCUGCGGCUGUGAGUUUGUGGCCGUCUCAGGAUGAGGAGUCCGACUGUAAAAACGAUCGCUUUUGCUCCGCUGACCUCUACGUUUUGCUAACUGCUGUAUCAUUCCAAGUGUUUCUUCUUCCAAGAUGAAUACAAGGCUUCACAUUCAAGCUCGGGAGGACAUAAUUCGCUAUUAUGGCACUCCUGCGGCUGUGAGUUUGUGGCCGUCUCAGGAUGAGGAGUCCGACUGUAAAAACGAUCGCUUUUGCUCCGCUGACCUCUACGUUUUGCUAACUGCUGUAUCAUUCCAAGUGUUUCUUCUUCCAAGAUGAAUACAAGGCUUCACAUUCAAGCUCGGGAGGACAUAAUUCGCUAUUAUGGCACUCCUGCGGCUGUGAGUUUGUGGCCGUCUCAGGAUGAGGAGUCCGACUGUAAAAACGAUCGCUUUUGCUCCGCUGACCUCUACGUUUUGCUAACUGCUGUAUCAUUCCAAGUGUUUCUUCUUCCAAGAUGAAUACAAGGCUUCACAUUCAAGCUCGGGAGGACAUAAUUCGCUAUUAUGGCACUCCUGCGGCUGUGAGUUUGUGGCCGUCUCAGGAUGAGGAGUCCGACUGUAAAAACGAUCGCUUUUGCUCCGCUGACCUCUACGUUUUGCUAACUGCUGUAUCAUUCCAAGUGUUUCUUCUUCCAAGAUGAAUACAAGGCUUCACAUUCAAGCUCGGGAGGACAUAAUUCGCUAUUAUGGCACUCCUGCGGCUGUGAGUUUGUGGCCGUCUCAGGAUGAGGAGUCCGACUGUGUAUGUAUAAAUUUACAUGCCCACCCUGUAAAUUCUUCCGUCUAGUAUAGCUGAUUUGUUGCACAUUAAGUCUGCCCAGUCCCUAUAAUAAACUGUGAUUCGUUUUCUUUGCAAAAGUAUCCCGUAUUUCUGUCUGACCUGACUUCCUUUGUCCCUCCCUCCACCCCCUCGAUGUGUAGCGUUCCCUGGCUGUGUCCCCUUCCCGUUGUCCCGACCCCCUGAGCGUCUUCACUCCGUUCUGGGCCCGCCCUGUCUACGGUGAGACGCUCCCCGCCCCCGUCACCAUCAACCACGCUGAUUACUAUCCUGCCCCAAGUGACGAUGAUGACAGUGACUACUGGGUGUACGAGGACGAGGACGACCACAGCUUUGUGGAUGACAGAGAGAUUCAUCCCUUUAGAAAGGCGCUGACGAGAGCGGCUGCCUUCUUUAGGAAGAUCUUCUCUUAGACUCCUUUAUCCUUUUAAUGUCUGAAUGUGUGCAAGUAAGUGAAUGAAUGAGCAGGUUUGUAUGUAUGUGUGCGUUUGUGUGAGAGUAAAUAUAAGAUUGAAUGAGCAUGUGUGUGUGUGUGUGAGAGAGAGAGAGAGACAGAGAGAGAGAGAGACUGAAUGAAUAUGUAUGUUUGUGUGUGUGUAUUGUGUGCGUGUAAGAGUAAAUGAAAGAUUGAAUUAUCAUGUCUGUCUGUAUGCAUGUAUGUGUGUAUGUGUGUGUGAGUGUUUGUGUGUGAGUGUGAGAGAGUGAAUGAGCAUGUAUGUAUGAUGUGUGUAUGUAUGUGUGAGAGAGAGUGUGUAUAUUGUGUAUAUAUGUUAGAGAUGUGAGCUGGAGUGAAUGAACGAACCUACAUGUAUGUGUGUAUUAGAGAGAGAGAGAGAGAGAGAGAGA